CCACCGCGGUUAAACGAGAGGCCCUAGUUGAUAAUACCACGGCGUAAAGGGUGGUUAAGGAAAGCAAAAUAAUAGAGCCAAAUGGCCCUUUGGCCGUCAUACGCUUCUAGGUGUCCGAAGCCCAAUUAUACGAAAGUAGCUUUAAUAAAACCCAUCUGACUCCACGAAAGCUGAGAAACAAACUGGGAUUAGAUACCCCACUAUGCUCAGCCAUAAACCUAGAUAUUCAACUACAAUUAAAUAUCCGCCCGGGUACUACGAGCAUUAGCUUGAAACCCAAAGGACCUGACGGUGCCUUAGACCCCCCUAGAGGAGCCUGUUCUAGAACCGAUAACCCCCGUUAAACCUCACCACUUCUAGCCAUCCCAGCCUAUAUACCGCCGUCGUCAGCUUACCCUGUGAAGGCAAUAAAAGUAAGCAAAAUGGGCACAACCCAGAACGUCAGGUCGAGGUGUAGCGCACGAAAUGGGAAGAAAUGGGCUACAUUUUCUAUUAACAGAAUAUUACGAACAUGCAACAUGAAAUAGUGCUUGAAGGAGGAUUUAGUAGUAAAAAGGAAGCAGAGUGUCCUUUUGAACCCGGCUCUGAGGCGCGUACACACCGCCCGUCACUCUCCCCUGUCUACACGCAAUAAAAGUUUAUAACACAAAAGCACUGACAAGGGGAGGCAAGUCGUAACAUG
Molecule: ribosomal RNA, 682 nt
Filed under: Parachela siamensis
Lineage: Eukaryota; Metazoa; Chordata; Actinopteri; Cypriniformes; Xenocyprididae
Description: partial 12S ribosomal RNA
Rfam family: Bacterial small subunit ribosomal RNA
Source: RNAcentral